AUAUGUUAUACUAACAUAUGUUAAUGUUUUGGUAAGGUCGGUCAAAUGAAAUGAAAAUACAACACAACCAAAGUUAAAAUAAGAGUGGUCAUGGAUUAGGAUUGAUUGUUGCCGGUGCCAUUGUUUAUUAUUGUGUUUUUGUUGACUCUGAAUAUGUUAAAUAUAGUAACAAUGCCAGUGAACAUUCAAAAUCAAGUUGGUUUAAAGGUGUGAAUUAAUACAUGUUAGGUGACUCAGCGCUUCAAUGUUGUCACUGUCGCAGCACAGAGCUCCACAAAUACCAAGUGUGCUCAACAUAUUAGCCAAGAA
Molecule: long non-coding RNA, 309 nt
Organism: Homalodisca vitripennis (glassy-winged sharpshooter)
Lineage: Eukaryota; Metazoa; Arthropoda; Insecta; Hemiptera; Cicadellidae
Exons: 2
Source: RefSeq, a predicted model, not a curated record